This 1473-nucleotide ribosomal RNA is filed under the name Microbacterium sp. Its description in RNAcentral is "bacterial SSU rRNA". It matches the Rfam family "Bacterial small subunit ribosomal RNA". The record is from RNAcentral. Lineage: Bacteria; Bacillati; Actinomycetota; Actinomycetes; Micrococcales; Microbacteriaceae.
ACCUGGCUCAGGAUGAACGCUGGCGGCGUGCUUAACACAUGCAAGUCGAACGGUGAAGGCGGAGCUUGCUCUGCUGGAUCAGUGGCGAACGGGUGAGUAACACGUGAGCAAUCUGCCCCUGACUCUGGGAUAAGCGCUGGAAACGGCGUCUAAUACUGGAUACGAGCUUCCACCGCAUGGUGAGUUGUUGGAAAGAUUUUUCGGUCAGGGAUGAGCUCGCGGCCUAUCAGCUUGUUGGUGAGGUAAUGGCUCACCAAGGCGUCGACGGGUAGCCGGCCUGAGAGGGUGACCGGCCACACUGGGACUGAGACACGGCCCAGACUCCUACGGGAGGCAGCAGUGGGGAAUAUUGCACAAUGGGCGCAAGCCUGAUGCAGCAACGCCGCGUGAGGGACGACGGCCUUCGGGUUGUAAACCUCUUUUAGCAGGGAAGAAGCGAAAGUGACGGUACCUGCAGAAAAAGCGCCGGCUAACUACGUGCCAGCAGCCGCGGUAAUACGUAGGGCGCAAGCGUUAUCCGGAAUUAUUGGGCGUAAAGAGCUCGUAGGCGGUUUGUCGCGUCUGCUGUGAAAUCCCGAGGCUCAACCUCGGGUCUGCAGUGGGUACGGGCAGACUAGAGUGCGGUAGGGGAGAUUGGAAUUCCUGGUGUAGCGGUGGAAUGCGCAGAUAUCAGGAGGAACACCGAUGGCGAAGGCAGAUCUCUGGGCCGUAACUGACGCUGAGGAGCGAAAGGGUGGGGAGCAAACAGGCUUAGAUACCCUGGUAGUCCACCCCGUAAACGUUGGGAACUAGUUGUGGGGUCCAUUCCACGGAUUCCGUGACGCAGCUAACGCAUUAAGUUCCCCGCCUGGGGAGUACGGCCGCAAGGCUAAAACUCAAAGGAAUUGACGGGGACCCGCACAAGCGGCGGAGCAUGCGGAUUAAUUCGAUGCAACGCGAAGAACCUUACCAAGGCUUGACAUAUACGAGAACGGGCCAGAAAUGGUCAACUCUUUGGACACUCGUAAACAGGUGGUGCAUGGUUGUCGUCAGCUCGUGUCGUGAGAUGUUGGGUUAAGUCCCGCAACGAGCGCAACCCUCGUUCUAUGUUGCCAGCACGUAAUGGUGGGAACUCAUGGGAUACUGCCGGGGUCAACUCGGAGGAAGGUGGGGAUGACGUCAAAUCAUCAUGCCCCUUAUGUCUUGGGCUUCACGCAUGCUACAAUGGCCGGUACAAAGGGCUGCAAUACCGUAAGGUGGAGCGAAUCCCAAAAAGCCGGUCCCAGUUCGGAUUGAGGUCUGCAACUCGACCUCAUGAAGUCGGAGUCGCUAGUAAUCGCAGAUCAGCAACGCUGCGGUGAAUACGUUCCCGGGUCUUGUACACACCGCCCGUCAAGUCAUGAAAGUCGGUAACACCUGAAGCCGGUGGCCCAACCCUUGUGGAGGGAGCCGUCGAAGGUGGGAUCGGUAAUUAGGACUAAGUCGUAACAAGGU